RNAcentral lists this ribosomal RNA (313 nucleotides) under uncultured bacterium. RNAcentral's name for it is "bacterial SSU rRNA". It matches the Rfam family "Bacterial small subunit ribosomal RNA", at positions 28 to 334 of the family's 1533-position model. The record is from RNAcentral.
GAUGAACGCUGGCGGCGUGCCUAACACAUGCAAGUCGAACGGACUCAUAUUGAAACCUAGUGAUUUAUGAGUUAGUGGCGGACGGGUGAGUAACGCGUGGAAAACCUGCCGUAUACCGGGGGAUAACACUUAGAAAUAGGUGCUAAUACCGCAUAAGCGCACAGCUUCGCAUGAAGCAGUGUGAAAAACUCCGGUGGUAUACGAUGGUUCCGCGUCUGAUUAGCUAGUUGGCGGGGUAACGGCCCACCAAGGCAGCGAUCAGUAGCCGGCCUGAGAGGGUGAACGGCCACAUUGGGACUGAGACACGGCCCAA